Molecule: ribosomal RNA, 492 nt
Filed under: uncultured bacterium
Lineage: Bacteria
Description: partial 16S ribosomal RNA
Rfam family: Bacterial small subunit ribosomal RNA
Source: RNAcentral
AGUGAACGCUGGCGGUAGGCCUAACACGUGCAAGUCGAACGGCAGCACAGUAAGAGCUUGCUCUUACGGGUGGCGAGUGGCGGACGGGUGAGGAAUACAUCGGAAUCUACUUUUUCGUGGGGGAUAACGUAGGGAAACUUACGCUAAUACCGCAUACGACCUACGGGUGAAAGCAGGGGAUCUUCGGACCUUGCGCGAUUGAAUGAGCCGAUGUCGGAUUAGCUAGUUGGCGGGGUAAAGGCCCACCAAGGCGACGAUCCGUAGCUGGUCUGAGAGGAUGAUCAGCCACACUGGAACUGAGACACGGUCCAGACUCCUAAGGGAGGCAGCAGUGGGGAAUAUUGGACAAUGGGCGCAAGCAUGAUCCAGCCAUACCGCGUGGGUGAAGAAGGCCUUCGGGUUGUAAAGCCCUUUUGUUGGGAAAGAAAAGCAGCAGGUUAAUACCCAGCUGUUCUGACGGUACCCAAAGAAUAAGCACCGGCUAACUUCGUG